RNAcentral lists this ribosomal RNA (475 nucleotides) under Purpureocillium lilacinum. Its description in RNAcentral is "SSU rRNA". It matches the Rfam family "Eukaryotic small subunit ribosomal RNA", at positions 218 to 693 of the family's 1831-position model. Lineage: Eukaryota; Fungi; Ascomycota; Sordariomycetes; Hypocreales; Ophiocordycipitaceae. The record is from RNAcentral.
CAAAUUAACCCUUCUGGGGGCUCUCUGGUGAUUCAUGAUAACUUCUCGAAUCGCAUGGCCUUGCGCCGGCGAUGGUUCAUUCAAAUUUCUUCCCUAUCAACUUUCGAUGUUUGGGUAGUGGCCAAACAUGGUUGCAACGGGUAACGGAGGGUUAGGGCUCGACCCCGGAGAAGGAGCCUGAGAAACGGCUACUACAUCCAAGGAAGGCAGCAGGCGCGCAAAUUACCCAAUCCCGACACGGGGAGGUAGUGACAAUAAAUACUGAUACAGGGCUCUUUUGGGUCUUGUAAUUGGAAUGAGUACAAUUUAAAUCCCUUAACGAGGAACAAUUGGAGGGCAAGUCUGGUGCCAGCAGCCGCGGUAAUUCCAGCUCCAAUAGCGUAUAUUAAAGUUGUUGUGGUUAAAAAGCUUGUAGUUGAACCUUGGGCCUGGCUGGCCGGUCCGCCUCACCGCGUGCACUGGUCCGGCCGGGCCU